GCAGUCGAGCGGCAGCGGGUCCUUCGGGAUGCCGGCGAGCGGCGGACGGGUGAGUAAUGCCUAGGAAUCUGCCUGGUAGUGGGGGAUAACGUUCGGAAACGGACGCUAAUACCGCAUACGUCCUACGGGAGAAAGCGGGGGAUCUUCGGACCUCGCGCUACCAGAUGAGCCUAGGUCGGAUUAGCUAGUUGGUGGGGUAAAGGCUCACCAAGGCGACGAUCCGUAACUGGUCUGAGAGGAUGAUCAGUCACACUGGAACUGAGACACGGUCCAGACUCCUACGGGAGGCAGCAGUGGGGAAUAUUGGACAAUGGGCGAAAGCCUGAUCCAGCCAUGCCGCGUGUGUGAAGAAGGUCUUCGGAUUGUAAAGCACUUUAAGUUGGGAGGAAGGGCAUUAACCUAAUACGUUAGUGUUUUGACGUUACCGACAGAAUAAGCACCGGCUAACUUCGUGCCAGCAGCCGCGGUAAUACGAAGGGUGCAAGCGUUAAUCGGAAUUACUGGGCGUAAAGCGCGCGUAGGUGGUUCAGCAAGUUGGAUGUGAAAGCCCCGGGCUCAACCUGGGAACUGCAUCCAAAACUACUGAGCUAGAGUACGGUAGAGGGUGGUGGAAUUUCCUGUGUAGCGGUGAAAUGCGUAGAUAUAGGAAGGAACACCAGUGGCGAAGGCGACCACCUGGACUGAUACUGACACUGAGGUGCGAAAGCGUGGGGAGCAAACGGGAUUAGAUACCGUGAUACUCCACGCCGUAAACGAUGUCGACUAGCCGUUGGGAUCCUUGAGAUCUUAGUGGCGCAGCUAACGCGAUAAGUCGACCGCCUGGGGAGUACGGCCGCAAGGUUAAAACUCAAAUGAAUUGACGGGGGCCCGCACAAGCGGUGGAGCAUGUGGUUUAAUUCGAAGCAACGCGAAGAACCUUACCUGGCCUUGACAUGCUGAGAACUUUCCAGAGAUGGAUUGGUGCCUUCGGGAACUCAGACACAGGUGCUGCAUGGCUGUCGUCAGCUCGUGUCGUGAGAUGUUGGGUUAAGUCCCGUAACGAGCGCAACCCUUGUCCUUAGUUACCAGCACGUUAUGGUGGGCACUCUAAGGAGACUGCCGGUGACAAACCGGAGGAAGGUGGGGAUGACGUCAAGUCAUCAUGGCCCUUACGGCCAGGGCUACACACGUGCUACAAUGGUCGGUACAAAGGGUUGCCAAGCCGCGAGGUGGAGCUAAUCCCAUAAAACCGAUCGUAGUCCGGAUCGCAGUCUGCAACUCGACUGCGUGAAGUCGGAAUCGCUAGUAAUCGUGAAUCAGAAUGUCACGGUGAAUACGUUCCCGGGCCUUGUACACACCGCCCGUCACACCAUGGGAGUGGGUUGCUCCAGAAGUAGCUAGUCUAACCGCAAG
This 1392-nucleotide ribosomal RNA is filed under the name Pseudomonas sp. RNAcentral describes it as "bacterial SSU rRNA". It matches the Rfam family "Bacterial small subunit ribosomal RNA". Lineage: Bacteria; Pseudomonadati; Pseudomonadota; Gammaproteobacteria; Pseudomonadales; Pseudomonadaceae. The record is from RNAcentral.